Molecule: ribosomal RNA, 253 nt
Filed under: uncultured bacterium
Lineage: Bacteria
Description: partial 16S ribosomal RNA
Rfam family: Bacterial small subunit ribosomal RNA
Source: RNAcentral
UACGAAGGGGGCUAGCGUUGCUCGGAAUGACUGGGCGUAAAGGGCGCGUAGGCGGUUUGUACAGUCAGGUGUGAAAUUCCCGGGCUCAACCUGGGGGCUGCGCUUGAUACGUAUGGACUGGAGUGGGGAAGAGGGUCGUGGAAUUCCCAGUGUAGAGGUGAAAUUCGUAGAUAUUGGGAAGAACACCGGUGGCGAAGGCGGCGACCUGGUCCUUGACUGACGCUGAGGCGCGAAAGCGUGGGGAGCAAACAGG